UGUUGGGAAUGAUGAGAAAAUUUAAUAUUAUCACAGUUAUCCCUGUCUGAUUUCCAGUGCUGAUAAUGUGUUCUCUGACACAACA
Gossypium hirsutum (cotton) is the source of this 85-nucleotide non-coding RNA. The record is from Rfam. Lineage: Eukaryota; Viridiplantae; Streptophyta; Magnoliopsida; Malvales; Malvaceae.